Molecule: ribosomal RNA, 403 nt
Filed under: uncultured bacterium
Lineage: Bacteria
Description: partial 16S ribosomal RNA
Rfam family: Bacterial small subunit ribosomal RNA
Source: RNAcentral
GACGAACGCUGGCGGCGUGCCUAAUACAUGCAAGUCGAACGCAGUGGGGACGGGUGAGUAACACGUGGGUAACCUCCCAUCAGAGGGGAUAACACUUGGAAACAGGUGCUAAACCGAUACUGAUGGAUGGACCCGCGGUGCAUUAGCUAGUUGGUGAGGUAACGGCUCACCAGGGCCACGAUGCAUAGCCGACCUGAGAGGGUGAUGAGCCACACUGGGACGGAGACACGGCCCAGAGUCCUACCAUGUACAUCAGGAUUAAAUCUUCGGCAAUGGACGAAAGUCUGACCGAGCAACGCCGCGUGAGUGAAGAAGGUUUUCGGAUCGUAAAACUCUGUUGUUAUAGAAGCGGUAUCUAACCAGAAAGCCACGGCUAACUACGUGCAAGCAGCCGCGGUAAUAC